Molecule: long non-coding RNA, 1212 nt
Filed under: Anser brachyrhynchus (Pink-footed goose)
Lineage: Eukaryota; Metazoa; Chordata; Aves; Anseriformes; Anatidae
Description: lncRNA (ENSABRG00000000050.1)
Source: RNAcentral
ACCCCGAGGAGGUGAAGCGGCGCGCCAUGGCCGACCCCGAGGUGCAGCAGAUCAUGAGCGACCCCGCCAUGCGCCUCAUCCUCGAGCAGAUGCAGAAGGACCCCCAGGCCCUCAGCGAGUGAGUGCGGGCCCCCCCGCGCCCCCCCGGGGGUCCCCACGUGUCCCCAAAGUGUCACACCGGGGUCCCCGGGUGGCCCGGAGGCGGCACCGGGUGGCCCCGGUGCUCCACGGGGGGCCACGGUGGUGUUGCUCGGAGCUGGUGGGGGGUGGUGGGGAGGGUCCCCAGAAUCUCGUGGGGUGCCCCUGGGGGUCCCCAAAGUGUCCCCCCAUGUCCCCGGGGUGUCACAGGGGGUCCCCGGGGUGUCUCGUGCUGUGCUCUGGCCAUCCUGGUGUUGCUCGGAGCUGCUGGGGGGUCGUAGGGAGGGUCCCCAGAACCUCUUGGGGUGUCACAGAGGGUCCCCAAAGUGUCCCUGGGUGUCCCCAAGGUGUCACCAGGGGUCCCCAAAGUGUCCCCACGUGUCCCCGAGGUGUCACAGGGUGUUACUGGGUGUCCCCGGUGCUCCACAGGGUGCCCCACACUGUGCUCUGGUUGUCCUGGUGUUGCUUGGAGCUGCUGGGGGUUGUGGGGAGGGUCCCCAGAACCUCUUGGGGUGUCCCUGGGGGUCCCUGAGGUGUCACCAAGGGUCCCCAAAGUGUCCCCACACGUCCCCGAGGUGUCACAGGGGGUCCCCGAGGUGUCCCCAGUGCUCCACGGGGUGCCCCACGCUGUGCUCUGGUCGUCCUGGUGUUGAUCGGAGCUGGUGGGGGGUCGUGGGGAGGGUCCCCAGAACCUCGUGGGGUGUCACAGGGGGUCCCCAAAGUGUCCCCACGUGUCCCCGAGGUGUCACAGGGGGUCCCCGAGGUGUCACAGGGGGUCCCCGAGGUGUCACAGGGGGUCCCCGAGGUGUCCCCGUUGCUCCACGGGGUGCCCCACGCUGUGCUCUGGUCGUCCUGGUGUUGCUCGGAGCUGCUGGGGGGUCGUGGGGAGGGUCCCCAGAACCUCGUGGGGUGUCUCUGGGGGUCCCCAAAGUGUCCCCACAUGUCCCCGAGCUGUCACAGGGGGUCCCCGAGCUGUCACAGGGGGUCCCCGAGCUGUCACAGGGUGUUACUGGGUGUCCCCGGUGCUCCACAGGGUGCCCCACGCUGUGCUCUGGUUGUCCUGGUGUUGCUUGG